AGUCGAGCGGUAGAGAGAAGCUUGCUUCUCUUGAGAGCGGCGGACGGGUGAGUAAUGCCUAGGAAUCUGCCUGGUAGUGGGGGAUAACGUUCGGAAACGGACGCUAAUACCGCAUACGUCCUACGGGAGAAAGCAGGGGACCUUCGGGCCUUGCGCUAUCAGAUGAGCCUAGGUCGGAUUAGCUAGUUGGUGAGGUAAUGGCUCACCAAGGCGACGAUCCGUAACUGGUCUGAGAGGAUGAUCAGUCACACUGGAACUGAGACACGGUCCAGACUCCUACGGGAGGCAGCAGUGGGGAAUAUUGGACAAUGGGCGAAAGCCUGAUCCAGCCAUGCCGCGUGUGUGAAGAAGGUCUUCGGAUUGUAAAGCACUUUAAGUUGGGAGGAAGGGCAUUAACCUAAUACGUUAGUGUUUUGACGUUACCGACAGAAUAAGCACCGGCUAACUCUGUGCCAGCAGCCGCGGUAAUACAGAGGGUGCAAGCGUUAAUCGGAAUUACUGGGCGUAAAGCGCGCGUAGGUGGUUUGUUAAGUUGGAUGUGAAAUCCCCGGGCUCAACCUGGGAACUGCAUUCAAAACUGACUGACUAGAGUAUGG
This 596-nucleotide ribosomal RNA is filed under the name uncultured bacterium. RNAcentral describes it as "bacterial SSU rRNA". It matches the Rfam family "Bacterial small subunit ribosomal RNA", at positions 60 to 651 of the family's 1533-position model. The record is from RNAcentral.